Molecule: ribosomal RNA, 433 nt
Filed under: uncultured bacterium
Lineage: Bacteria
Description: partial 16S ribosomal RNA
Rfam family: Bacterial small subunit ribosomal RNA
Source: RNAcentral
AACGAACGCUGGCGGCAUGCCUAACACAUGCAAGUCGAACGAGACCUUCGGGUCUAGUGGCGCACGGGUGCGUAACGCAUGGGAACCUGACCUUAGGUUCGGAAUAACUCCCCGAAAGGGGUGCUAAUACCGGAUAAUGUCUUCGGACCAAAGAUUUAUCGCCUUUGGAUGGGCCCGCGUUGGAUUAGCUAGUUGGUAGGGUAAAAGCCUACCAAGGCGACGAUCCAUAGCUGGUUUGAGAGGAUGAUCAGCCACACUGGGACUGAGACACAGCCCAGACUCCUACGGGAGGCAGCAGUGGGGAAGAUUGUACAAUGGGCCGAAGCCUGAUCCAGCCAUUCCGCGUGAGUGAUGAAGGCCUUAGGGUUGUAAAGCUCUUUUACCCGGGAUGAUAAUGACAGUACCGGGAGAAUAAGCUCCGGCUAGCUCCGUG